CUCAACCUCCCAUUUUCUCAACACACACAUCCGGCCAAGACUCCGGUGAGCACUCGCGGCAGCUCCCCCGCGUCUCCGCCGUAACGCAGCCAUGCCGGAAAGCCAAAAGCGACCAAAACCCAAGUUUUUAAAAGAUCUCCUUUUUAAAACAAAAUAAACUCGAUUUGGGUGUUUUAAAACUAGAAAAUGAAGAGAGAAAAUAGAAAAGGGGCUUUCGGCUUCACUGCUUCCCUUCUCGGCGAAGCCCCGAAUGAAACCCUAGGGGUUUCCACGACUCGGCCGAACGGAUGGAGGCCUCCAACGGUGGCGCACCGCGAGGGACAGGUACUUCAAAAACCUUUUCUUUUAUUUCAUUUUUGUUUUUUCAUUUAGUACGCGAAAACCAAAAUAAAAAAUAAAAAAUAAAUGAUAAGAGAAUCGGACAAAAAGAACAGAAAUAUAAGUUUCACUUCUGAAAAUCGGUAUUUUGUUUCUUUUUAUUAAUGUUUGCCGAAGCCGAAGAAGAAGAUACAAAAUGGCUCUUGUUGUUUUUAUAGCCAUUACCAACUGUUUUUUUUCAAUCUUUUGUUUGUCUGCUCUUUAUUUCUUUUGUUGCUUUGCGUUCACUCUUCUCUGCAGGUGUCAGACGAGGCCGACGGUGGUAGCAGAAGGCAUGCGCGAGGGGGCAUUGGACAAAAGCGG
This 681-nucleotide long non-coding RNA is filed under the name Gossypium barbadense (sea-island cotton). Its description in RNAcentral is "long non-coding RNA (GBAR_LNC022770)". The record is from RNAcentral. Lineage: Eukaryota; Viridiplantae; Streptophyta; Magnoliopsida; Malvales; Malvaceae.